GAGCCGAGGGGGCGGGCUGAGGGGCGGCCCCCGGGAGAGAGCGGCCAGGUGGAGGAGGAGCGCGGAGGCGACCGCAGCAUCUGCCUGCCCUUCUGCCAUCCGAGCGCCCUGACUGCGCCACACUGCAGGCCAUGGAGAAUGAGCUGCCAGUCCCACAUACAUCUAGCAGUGCCUGUGCCACCAGCAGUACCAGCGGGGCCAGUAGCAGCAGUGGCUGCAACAACAGCAGCAGUGGUGGAAGUGGCCGCCCCACCGGGCCCCAGAUUUCUGUGUACAGUGGUAUUCCAGACCGGCAGACCGUGCAGGUGAUCCAGCAGGCCCUGCACAGACAGCCCAGCACGGCCGCUCAGUACCUGCAGCAGAUGUACGCCGCCCAGCAGCAGCACCUCAUGCUGCAGACCGCGGCGCUCCAGCAGCAGCACCUCAG
This 427-nucleotide long non-coding RNA is filed under the name Homo sapiens (human). RNAcentral describes it as "non-protein coding lnc-PHC2-4:1". The record is from RNAcentral. Lineage: Eukaryota; Metazoa; Chordata; Mammalia; Primates; Hominidae.